UUUAACUUUGGAUAACGUCGAAGGCAAUCGAAAGUUCAUUACCUUCAAAUUUACGGUUACAACUAAAAUUACAAGAUCUUGAUUGUUCGGCCACCCUUGCUUCUUCUACUAGCAUUCUCAAGCUUCCAGAGACUGAUGAAGCUAUCCUUGGAUUUUGGUGUGGUGCCUAUGUCUGCACA
Daphnia magna is the source of this 179-nucleotide long non-coding RNA. RefSeq lists it as uncharacterized. The transcript is spliced from 2 exons. The record is from RefSeq and is a predicted model, not a curated record. NCBI's taxonomy places the organism in Eukaryota, Metazoa, Arthropoda, Branchiopoda, Diplostraca, Daphniidae.